AAGACUCAGAAGAUCUCCAAACUUCUUAAUAAGCGAUUUUCAACACCGGUCUGGAUAAAGCACAAGGAACCACGGGAAGUUAACAUGUUUGUUGAUCUACUUCUCCUAGAGUUCAAUGGUGUAGUAUCUGAAGUCAAGCAGAUCUUGCCUGGUUUAAUUCGACGACAUCGGCAUUCUGAUAGCACUGGCAGCACCACUUCCUC
Lolium rigidum is the source of this 203-nucleotide long non-coding RNA. RefSeq lists it as uncharacterized. The record is from RefSeq and is a predicted model, not a curated record. Lineage: Eukaryota; Viridiplantae; Streptophyta; Magnoliopsida; Poales; Poaceae. The transcript has 3 exons.